RNAcentral lists this transfer RNA (86 nucleotides) under Methanomassiliicoccales archaeon. Its description in RNAcentral is "tRNA-Ser". It matches the Rfam family "tRNA". Rfam says of the family: Transfer RNA (tRNA) molecules are approximately 80 nucleotides in length. Their secondary structure includes four short double-helical elements and three loops (D, anti-codon, and T loops). The record is from RNAcentral. Lineage: Archaea; Methanobacteriati; Thermoplasmatota; Thermoplasmata; Methanomassiliicoccales.
GCCGAGGUAGCCUAGCCAGGUCAAGGCGGUGGCCUCGAGAGCCACUGGCGCUCUGCGCCACGGGAGUUCGAAUCUCCCCCUCGGCG